AGUGAACGCUGGCGGCGGGCCUAAUACAUGCAAGUCGAACGGCAGCACAGCAGAGCUUGCUCUGUGGUGGCGAGUGGCGGACGGGUGAGGAAUACAUGGGAAUCUGCCCAGUCGUGGGGGAUAACGUAGGGAAACUUACGCUAAUACCGCAUGCGCCCUUCGGGGGAAAGCCGGGGACCUUCGGGCCUGGCGCGAUUGGAUGAGCCCAUGUCGGAUUAGCUAGUUGGCGGGGUAAUGGCCCACCAAGGCGACGAUCCGUAGCUGGUCUGAGAGGAUGAUCAGCCACACUGGAACUGAGACACGGUCCAGACUCCUACGGGAGACAGCAGUAGGGAAUAUUGGACAAUGGGCGCAAGCCUGAUCCAGCCAUGCCGCGUGAGUGAAGAAGGCCCUCGGGUUGUAAAGCUCUUUUGUCCGGAAAG
RNAcentral lists this ribosomal RNA (422 nucleotides) under uncultured bacterium. Its description in RNAcentral is "bacterial SSU rRNA". It matches the Rfam family "Bacterial small subunit ribosomal RNA", at positions 29 to 447 of the family's 1533-position model. The record is from RNAcentral.